This 215-nucleotide ribosomal RNA is filed under the name Eleotridae sp. Its description in RNAcentral is "partial small subunit ribosomal RNA". It matches the Rfam family "Bacterial small subunit ribosomal RNA", at positions 492 to 794 of the family's 1533-position model. The record is from RNAcentral. Lineage: Eukaryota; Metazoa; Chordata; Actinopteri; Gobiiformes; Eleotridae.
GUCGGUAAAACUCGUGCCAGCCGCCGCGGUUAUACGAGGGGCUCAAGUUGAUACUCCUCGGCGUAAAGGGUGGUUAGGAAACCUUAAACUAAAGCCAAACAUCUUCAAAGCUGUCAUACGCACCCGAAGAAAUGAAGACCUAUCACGAAAGUAGCUUUAAAAAUUCUGACCCCACGAAAGCUAGGACACAAACUGGGAUUAGAUACCCCACUAUG